Molecule: ribosomal RNA, 403 nt
Filed under: uncultured bacterium
Lineage: Bacteria
Description: partial 16S ribosomal RNA
Rfam family: Bacterial small subunit ribosomal RNA
Source: RNAcentral
AUUGAACGCUGGCGGCAGGCCUAACACCUGCAAGUCGAGCGAGCGGCGGACGGGUGAGUAAUGUAUGGGGACUGCCCGAUAGAGGGGGAUAACUACUGGAAAAGGUGGCUAAUACCGCAUACUAUCGGAUGAACCAUAUGUGCUUAGCUAGUAGGUGGGGUAAAGGCUCACCUAGGCGACGAUCUCUAGCGGGUCUGAGAGGAUGAGCAGCCACACUGGGACUGCGACACGGUCCAGACUCUUACGGAGGCAGCAGUGGGGAAGAUUGCACAAUGGGCGCAAGCCUGAUGCAUCCAUGCCGCGUGUAUGAAGAAGGCCUUAGGGUUGUAAAGUACUUUCAGCGGGGCGGCGUUACCCGCAGAAGAAGCACCGGCUAACUCCGUGCCAGCAGCCGCGGUAAUUC